RNA transcript from Elaeis guineensis (African oil palm), 2030 nucleotides. It is a transcript of the gene named UBP1-associated protein 2C, with no coding region annotated. The record is from RefSeq and is a predicted model, not a curated record. Lineage: Eukaryota; Viridiplantae; Streptophyta; Magnoliopsida; Arecales; Arecaceae.
CGGUGGUAGCGUUGUGGUUCUGAUCUUUAGGUUUCAGGAUUAGGGUUUUUGCUGCCCGCUAUCCGUCGGCCAUGGAUCCCAACACCAAGAAGCGAAAGACCGACGAGAACGGUGCCGUGGCCGCCUCUCAGGCGAUGCUGACGCCCGAGGACGCCCGCAAGAUCGUGGAGCCCUUCACCCGCGAGCAGCUCCUCGACAUCGUCCAGGAAGCCAUGUGCCGCGAUGCUGGCGUGCUCGACGCCGUCCGGGCCAUCGCGGACCGGGACCCUGCUCAGCGCAAGCUCUUCAUCCGCGGCCUCGGCUGGGAGACUACGACUGAGGCCCUCCGCAACCUCUUCUCCGCAUACGGCGAGCUCGAGGAGGCCGUCGUCAUCGUCGACAAGGCCACGGGCAAGAGCAAGGGCUACGGCUUCAUUACCUUCCGCCACAUCGAUGGAGCUCUCCUUGCCCUAAAGGAGCCCUCCAAGAAGAUUGACGGCCGCAUGACUGUCACCCAGCUCGCGGCCGCCGGCACCGCCGGCCCCACAGCUGCCGCCCCGCCCCCCGUGGAUGUCUCCCUCCGCAAGAUCUUUGUCGGGAACGUCCCGGCUGACAUGCCUUCCGACCGCCUCCUCGCCCACUUCUCCUCCUAUGGGGAGAUCGAGGAGGGGCCUCUGGGGUUUGACAAGCAGACGGGCAAGUUCCGGGGGUUUGCCCUGUUCGUCUACAAGACGGCCGAGGCAGCCAGGGCGUCGCUCGUGGACCCCACCAAGAACAUCGAUGGGCACCAUCUGGUGUGCAAGCUUGCGAUUGAGGGGAAGAAGGGGAAGCCGGGGGCUCCGGCCACCGGCGCUGCUGGUCCGGUGGGUGGAGUCCAGGGCCAGCCAAUGGGAGGCGGGGCUGAUAUCGGUGGGGAUAAGCUCGGAAUGGGUCACCAAUCCUCCUUGCCCAGCUCUAUGUCGAGCCAGUACGGAGGGCCGGGCGGUGGGAUCUCUUCGUUUGGUGGUUACUCUGGCGGUGGGAUACCAGGUGCUGCGGGGCUGGGUCACCAUCAUCACCUGAACUCAUCGCUGCCGUCAUCAAUGGGUGCUGGCAAUCCAGGUCUGUCAUCAGUGGGAAGCCAGGUGCCUUCAUCUCUAACUGGUGCUGGAGCUGGUGCUGGAGGUUAUGGAGGAGGUCUUGGGGGUCCCUAUGGAUCUUCGUCGCAGUAUGGUGGUCCUGGAUCUGGUGGCUAUGGUGGCUUUGGUGCAGGAUCAUCGUUGUACCGCUUGCCACCAAGCUCUGUUGGGAUGCCCUCUGGGGCGUAUCCUGAGAGUGGACACUACCCGCUGUCAUCGUCUGCUUACCAGAGCCAGCACCACCCACCACCUGGCUCAUCUCCUGGACCUAGGGUUCCGAGUGGAGGGCUUUACCAGAACCCAUACUACUAGGGUAGAGUAUUUCGUUAAGAGAGCAAUGCCAAAUUCAUUCCGUUUACAGAGCUAAGGAGUACGUGCUUGUUUUUCUCAUAAUCUGAGUUGAAAUUUGUAACCAGCCAAGUGCCACAGAAUAUUACUGGUUGGAGAAGCCUGCCCCUAGAAUCGAAAAAUUGCUCAAGAGCGCAUUUAUGCGGGCCAUAUCCUGUGGUUAAGUGGGAUUAUCUGGUAAAAGCCGAUUGGUGUCCGUAUGUUACGCAUCUGAUGGAAGACAAAUGCUUCGGACUAUCGCUGGACAGGUCCAAGAGGGGCCGUUGAAGUACGUGUGAAUUUGACGUCGGUUUCGAGAGGAAUCACCCGUGUUUAAACGGGACCCAUCCCCGUUGGAGGGUUACCACUUUGAGGUGGGAUCGGAGGGGGGAAUUACGGGAAUGCCGGGUCAGAGGACUAACCUUAAAUGCCUCCACAUGUUCGGCAUGCUUGUAGUGGAUGGUGGGCUAAUUUGACGAUGGGGAUCGAAACUGUGUAAUUGAGAUGAUAGCUACAAUUCUUUUUUUCUUUUUCCUCAUUUGAUUGAAGUACAAAAGUUCCUCGCUAAGAAGAAAAAUAAAUUGAAUUGCGAUUAUGUUCGGCAUC